Molecule: ribosomal RNA, 402 nt
Filed under: uncultured bacterium
Lineage: Bacteria
Description: bacterial SSU rRNA
Rfam family: Bacterial small subunit ribosomal RNA
Source: RNAcentral
UAGGGAAUAUUGGUAAUGUGCGAAAGCGCGAACCAGCAACGCCGCGUGCACGAUGAAGGCCUUCGGGUUGUAAAGUGCUUUUAGAGAGGAUGAGGAAGGACAGUACUUUCUGAAUAAGCCUCGGCUAACUACGUGCCAACAGCCGCGGUAAAACGUAGGAGGCUAGCGUUAUCCGGAUUUACUGGGCGUAAAGCGCGUGCAGGUGGUUUCGUAAGUUGGAUGUGAAAGCUCCUGGCUUAACUGGGAGAGGUCGUUCAAAACUGCGAGGCUUGAGAGUGGUAGAGGGAGGUGGAAUUCCGGGUGUAGUGGUGAAAUGCGUAGAUAUCCGGAGGAACACCAGUGGCGAAAGCGGCCUCCUGGACCAUUUCUGACACUCAGACGCGAAAGCUAAGGUAGCAAACG